CGGUUUCCCUGCGACACUGAAAAUAAAUUUCCAACGUCUAACACACAUCGUUUACGGCAUGGACUACGAGGGUAUCUAAUCCUCUUCGCUACCCAUGCUUUCGUUCCUCAGUGUCAGUAAUGAUCCAGAAAGCUGCCUUCGCAAUUGGUAUUCUUUCUAAUAUCUACGAAUUUCACCUCUACACUAGAAAUUCUGCCUUCCUCUAUCAUACUCUAGCUGAAAAGUUUUGAUGGCAGUUCCAGAGUUAAGCUCUGGGAUUUCACCACCAACUUUUUCAACCACCUACGAACUCUUUAAGCCCAGUAAUUCCGAACUACGCUAGGUCCCUUCGUAUUACCGCGGCUGCUGGCACGAAGUUAGCCGGACCUUCUUAUUCGGGUACAGUCAUUUUCUUCCCCGACGAAAGAGCUUUACAACCCAAAGGCCUUCUUCACUCACGCGGCAUCGCUGCAUCAGAGUUUCCUCCAUUGUGCAAGAUUCCCCACUGCUGCCUCCCGUAGGAGUUUGGGCCGUGUCUCAGUCCCAAUGUGGCUGAUCAUCCUCUCAAAUCAGCUAUUGAUCAUAGUCUUGGUAGGCCAUUACCCUACCAACAAACUAAUCAAGUGCGGGCUCCUCCAAUGGUGCAUAAAGCUUUCUCCGUAAAGACUUAUCCGGUAUUAGCACAAGUUUCCUCGUGUUAUUCCAGGCCAAAGGGUAGAUACCCACAUGUUACUCACCCGUCUGCCACUAAGUAUUGCUACUUCGUUCGACUUGCAUGUGUUAGGCGUGCCGCCAGCGUACGUUCUGAGCCAGGAUCAAACUCU
RNAcentral lists this ribosomal RNA (803 nucleotides) under uncultured bacterium. RNAcentral describes it as "partial 16S ribosomal RNA". The record is from RNAcentral.